RNAcentral lists this ribosomal RNA (903 nucleotides) under Triticum aestivum (bread wheat). RNAcentral describes it as "partial small subunit ribosomal RNA". Lineage: Eukaryota; Viridiplantae; Streptophyta; Magnoliopsida; Poales; Poaceae. The record is from RNAcentral.
AUGCGAUGGAUGGCUUUUGCAAACCCGACAUGCGGCGAUGUGGUUCAUGCCAACAACAAAUAUGAUUGGCCGGUGCUGCCGGCUGGCGUCAAGUUCGAUCCCACGGAUCAGGAGCUGAUCGAGCACCUUGAGGCCAAAGUGAGUGCUGACAGCGCGAGAUCUCACCCUCUCAUCGAUUUGUUCAUACCAACCAUCGACAGCGAGCACGACAUAUGCUACACCCAUCCUGAGAAACUUCUAGGUAUCACACUGAGUGGCCUAAGCAAGCAUUUCUUCCAGCGCAAUUCUAGGGCGUUCAAAAGGGGCACGUGGACGCGUCGCAAGAUACAGUCGGAGUGCGGCAUGCACGCGAUGUGGCACAACACCGGCAAUACCUUGCCGGUGAUGGUCAACGGCCGGCAGACGGGCAACAAAAAGGUUCUGGUGCUGCACACCAACAAGAACUUCGACCAGCAGAGGACCAACUGGGUGAUGCACCAGUACCACCUCGGGGACCUAGAGCAAGAGAAGGAGCGGGAGCUGGUCCUCUGCAAGAUUUUCUACCAGACGAACACUAGGGCAAACUUAGUCAACAAUCGACUCUACCAGCAUCAGACCAUUAGAUGUCAAUCUAACUGCAAUCGUGCUUCUUCAGUCUCUGAUCUUCCUGCCCCAGCCGCCCAAACCAGCGCCGUCGGAACCGCCUGCUCCCGCCUCCCGUGGCAAAGAAAAUACGGCCACAUACGUACAUAUGGGCAGGGUCUCGAACGCUUACUCGCGCAUACAUAUGGCCAGGGCUCGUGUACAUGGCUGGAAUGUCAUGCAGCUGCGUCUCCGGCCCGCCCAGGACGAAAAGCCCAUUUUCUUUUAAAUGAGGCCGGAACAACAAACAACAAUUCCAGAAAAUCCCCAUAUGUCAUUUAG